This is a long non-coding RNA of Protopterus annectens (West African lungfish), 883 nucleotides long. RefSeq lists it as uncharacterized. NCBI's taxonomy places the organism in Eukaryota, Metazoa, Chordata, Ceratodontiformes, Protopteridae. The record is from RefSeq and is a predicted model, not a curated record. The transcript is spliced from 4 exons.
UGUCACUGAUCGUCGAACAUGCAUGUAUCAAUCUUAUCUUGUUUAGUUGGAACUGCGUAAUAGUUUUAUUUUUUAGUAAGUGGUAGUGUUAAAUAAAAAGGUUGUUUGCCGGUGUAUGCUAAAAUAAAGGUAGUUAACGUAUGUGACGUUUGAUGUAAAGUACACGAGUUUGUGGUGCUGUUAAAGAGUAAAUUAAAAAGGUCGAGUUUGAACGGGGGUAAAUGAGAUGCACAGAAUGCCUGCUGUCCCUGUAGUACAGUACCGAUGGAUAAUCCUAACACAGAACAAUGCUUCUACAAGCAGCAGCAUGUUGUGCUUGGAUACCACAAGCAUGGCAGAUUUCUCAGAACGUGUUAAUUUUCCAAAGAGUCUUGUUCAUAUGAAUCCGUUUUGGAAGCAUCUGAGAUGAGGUGUGGGGAUGGGCCUGUAACUUAACUCAACUCAAACUGCUAAUCUUGUGGACUCCAAACUGGGCUAACUGUGCAAGUCGCACUCAAGUCAACAUGGAUUGUUCCUGUGGAUCGAUGUGAAGAAAUGAGGCAUUGACUUUGCACCCAGAGCGAGCCUUGAAGCAGCAACUGAACAUAAUUUCAGAUAUUUUGUUGUAUAAAACUGUUGUGUAGCUAAGCUGCUGUUGAUAAAUUUGUAACAUUUAUGCAUUGUCCCAUGGUUUUGCAUUGGAAACUGUAUGUAAAGCUGAUUUGCUGUUUAACUGCAAAUUAGAGGUUUCUCUUCUGACAUGCAAUCUUAAAUUGCACUUUCUUGUGCUGUUCAUUUCAUGCAAUUUGUUUAAUGUAAUUGUACUUGGGCUGUGUUCACCUUGCUGUGAAGGGAAUGUAUAAUGUAAUGUGGAACUGGACAUUGGAUAAACCCUUAAGAACUG